UGGGGAAUUUUGGACAAUGGGCGAAAGCCUGAUCCAGCAAUGCCGCGUGUGUGAAGAAGGCCUUCGGGUUGUAAAGCACUUUUGUCCGGAAAGAAAUCCUUGGCUCUAAUACAGUCGGGGGAUGACGGUACCGGAAGAAUAAGCACCGGCUAACUACGUGCCAGCAGCCGCGGUAAUACGUAGGGUGCAAGCGUUAAUCGGAAUUACUGGGCGUAAAGCGUGCGCAGGCGGUUUGCUAAGACCGAUGUGAAAUCCCCGGGCUCAACCUGGGAACUGCAUUGGUGACUGGCAGGCUAGAGUAUGGCAGAGGGGGGUAGAAUUCCACGUGUAGCAGUGAAAUGCGUAGAGAUGUGGAGGAAUACCGAUGGCGAAGGCAGCCCCCUGGGCCAAUACUGACGCUCAUGCACGAAAGCGUGGGGGAGCAAACAGGAUUAGAUACCCUGGUAGUCCACGCCCUAAACGAUGUCAACUAGUUGUUGGGGAUUCAUUCCUUAGUAACGUAGCUAACGCGUGAAGUUGACCGCCU
Molecule: ribosomal RNA, 526 nt
Filed under: uncultured bacterium
Lineage: Bacteria
Description: partial 16S ribosomal RNA
Rfam family: Bacterial small subunit ribosomal RNA
Source: RNAcentral